RNA transcript from Otolemur garnettii (small-eared galago), 884 nucleotides. It is a transcript of the gene named ras-related protein Rab-5A pseudogene, with no coding region annotated. The record is from RefSeq and is a predicted model, not a curated record. NCBI's taxonomy places the organism in Eukaryota, Metazoa, Chordata, Mammalia, Primates, Galagidae. The transcript has a single exon.
UUUCUUUACCUCCAGAAAGAAAAAAAUUGACCCCUAGCAUCCUGGAAGAUUAUUUAAGAAUCUGAAAUUAGGGACUUCUUUCAAAUUUGGACAUGGCUAAUCGAGGUGCAACAAGACCCAACGGACCGAAUACUGGAAAUAAAAUAUGCCAAUUCAAACUAGUACUUCUGGGAGAGUCUGCUGUUGGUAAAUCAAGCCUAGUGCUUCGUUUUGUGAAAGGCCAAUUUCAUGAAUUUCAAGAAAGUACCAUUGGGGCUGCUUUUCUAACCCGAACUGUGUGUCUUGAUGAUACUACAGUAAAAUUUGAAAUAUGAGAUACAGCUGGUCAGGAAUGAUACCAUAGCUAAGCACCAAUGUACUACAGAGGAGCACAAGCAGCCAUAGUUGUAGGUGAUAUCACCAACGAGGAGUCCUUUGCAAGAGCAAAAAAUUGGGUUAAAGAGCUUCAGAGACAAGCAAGUCCUAACACUGUAACAGCUUUAUCAGGAAACAAGGCUGACCUAGCAAAUAAAAGAGCUGUAGAUUGCCAGGAAGCACAAUCUUAUGCAGAUGAUAACAGUUUAUUAUUCAUGGAGACAUCUGCCAAAACAUCAAUGAAUGUGAACGAAAUAUUCAUGGCAAUAGCUAAAAAGUUGCCAAAGAAUGAACCACAGAAUCCAGGAGCAAAUUCUGCCAGAGGAAGAGGAGUAGAUCUUACUGAACCCACACAGCCAACCAGGAGUCAGUGUUGUAGUAACUAAAUCUCCAGUUUGAACUAGCUGGAAUUUUCUUCUGCUUCCUAAAUGUUAAUAACAGUGGAAUUGGAGCAUUUAACCAGCCCAGUAUGACUUCCAAAAAGAAGAGACUUACAAUAGAGUCAAGUUUCUAAUACAGAAUUAUUUUAA